CCAGACUCCACGGGAGGCAGCAGUAGGGAAUCUUCCGCAAUGGGCGAAAGCCUGACGGAGCAACGCCGCGUGAGUGAUGAAGGUCUUCGGAUCGUAAAACUCUGUUAUUAGGAAGAACAUAUGUGUAAGUAACUGUGCACAUCUUGACGGUACCUAAUCAGAAAGCCACGGCUAACUACGUGCCAGCAGCCGCGGUAAUACGUAGGUGGCAAGCGUUAUCCGGAAUUAUUGAGCGUAGAGCGCGCGUAGGCGGUUAUUUAAGUCUGAGUGAAAGCCCACGGCUCAACCGUGGAGGGUCAUUGGAAACUGGAAAACUUGAGUGCAGAAGAGGAAAGUGGAAUUCCAUGUGUAGCGGUGAAAUGCGCAGAGAUAUGAGGAACACCAGUGGCGAAGGCACUUUCUGGUCUGUAACUGACGCUGAUGUGCGAAAGCGUGGGGAUCAAACAGGAUUAGAUACCCUGGUAGUCCACGCCGUAAACGAUGAGUGCUAAGUGUUAGGGGGUUUCCGCACCUUAGUGCUGCAGCUAACGCAUUAAGCACUCCGCCUGGGAGUACGACCGCAAGGUUGAAACUCAAAGGAAUUGACGGGACCCGCACAAGCGGUGGAGCAUGUGGUUUAAUUCGAAGCAACGCGAAGAACCUUACCAAAUCUUGACAUCCUUGACAACUCUAGAGAUAGAGCCUUCCCCUUCGGGGGACAAAGUGAUAGGUGGUGCAUGGUUGUCGUCAGCUCGUGUCGUGGAUGUUGGGUUAAGUCCCGCAACGAGCGCAACCCAUAAGCUUAGUUGCCAUCAUUAAGUUGGGCACUCUAGUUGACUGCCGGUGACAAACCGGAGGAAGG
Molecule: ribosomal RNA, 841 nt
Filed under: Staphylococcus aureus
Lineage: Bacteria; Bacillati; Bacillota; Bacilli; Caryophanales; Staphylococcaceae
Description: bacterial SSU rRNA
Rfam family: Bacterial small subunit ribosomal RNA
Source: RNAcentral